Non-coding RNA from Paramisgurnus dabryanus, 289 nucleotides. The record is from RefSeq and is a predicted model, not a curated record. Lineage: Eukaryota; Metazoa; Chordata; Actinopteri; Cypriniformes; Cobitidae.
GCAAAAGACAGCGAUCCAAUCAGGCCACGGUUCACCCCCCAAGGGGACAGCAUACAACUUUACGAAAUGUUGAUGCAAAGAGACAACGAACGGCUCAGAGUGCGUCCCCCGUUUUGAAUGCCAGCGUCAUCGCGAUCGAUAAUGUAUCACCUUUGGAGUCUGACGCUAGAACAUCUGGACAAGGGUCGAGCACACAUGACAUAGCAGUGAGCUUUGUAGAUUGGGAUGAGGAUCUGAUUAAUGCGUGGGACGCUUGCGAUUUUGAACUACCUUCACCGUCGCAAUCGCC